Molecule: ribosomal RNA, 396 nt
Filed under: uncultured bacterium
Lineage: Bacteria
Description: partial 16S ribosomal RNA
Rfam family: Bacterial small subunit ribosomal RNA
Source: RNAcentral
AUACGAAGGGUGCAAGCGUUAAUCGGAAUUACUGGGCGUAAAGCGCGCGUAGGUGGUUCGUUAAGUUGGAUGUGAAAGCCCCGGGCUCAACCUGGGAACUGCAUCCAAAACUGGCGAGCUAGAGUAUGGCAGAGGGUGGUGGAAUUUCCUGUGUAGCGGUGAAAUGCGUAGAUAUAGGAAGGAACACCAGUGGCGAAGGCGACCACCUGGGCUAAAACUGACACGGGGGUGCAAAAGCGUGGGGAGCAAACAGGAUUAGAUACCCUGGUAUUCCACGCCGUAAACGAUGUCGACUAGCCGUUGGGAUCCUUGAGAUCUUAGUGGCGCAGCUAACGCAUUAAGUCGACCGCCUGGGGAGUACGGCCGCAAGGUUAAAACUCAAAUGAAUUGACGGGG